UUUUCGAGAUUAACCUCACUAAUAAGCAGCUUCAGGAAAGAACUUGAACAUACAUUCUGCUAUUCAAAAACUGCAGCAAACUAAAAAUAUUCUGGAGGAAUUCAGAAGUGAUGAAGGGUUCAAAAGAACACUGGUAGAUUCUCUCGAGCUUGCUGAAGAAAUAGACUUUCCAACAGAAUUUGAACCAGAGCCAGUUCGCAUUCAGCAAAAGAAACAGCAGUUUUCGUAUGAAGGACGAGACACACCCAUUCAGAACCCAAAACAAAGGUUCAAAGUGAAUUUCUACUU
Long non-coding RNA from Gopherus evgoodei (Goodes thornscrub tortoise), 288 nucleotides. RefSeq lists it as uncharacterized. Lineage: Eukaryota; Metazoa; Chordata; Testudines; Testudinidae. The record is from RefSeq and is a predicted model, not a curated record. The transcript is spliced from 3 exons.